UCGGGAAUUUUGGGCAAUGGGCGAAAGCCUGACCCAGCAACGCCGCGUGAGGGAUGAAGUAUUUCGGUAUGUAAACCUCGAAAGAAUGGGAAGAAUAAAUGACGGUACCAUUUAUAAGCUCCGGCUAACUACGUGCCAGCAGCCGCGGUAAUACGUAGGGAGCAAGCGUUGUUCGGAUUUACUGGGCGUAAAGGGCGCGUAGGCGGCGCGGUAAGUCACUUGUGAAAUCUCUGAGCUUAACUCAGAACGGCCAAGUGAUACUGCUGUGCUAGAGUGCGGAAGAGGCAACCGGAAUUCUUGGUGUAGCGGUGAAAUGCGUAGAUAUCAAGAGGAACACCUGAGGCGAAGGCGGGUUGCUGGGCCGACACCGACGCUGAUGCGCGAAAGCCAGGGGAGCAAACG
Molecule: ribosomal RNA, 402 nt
Filed under: uncultured bacterium
Lineage: Bacteria
Description: bacterial SSU rRNA
Rfam family: Bacterial small subunit ribosomal RNA
Source: RNAcentral